RNAcentral lists this transfer RNA (72 nucleotides) under Bos taurus (domestic cattle). It matches the Rfam family "tRNA". Rfam says of the family: Transfer RNA (tRNA) molecules are approximately 80 nucleotides in length. Their secondary structure includes four short double-helical elements and three loops (D, anti-codon, and T loops). Further hydrogen bonds mediate the characteristic L-shaped molecular structure. tRNAs have two regions of fundamental functional importance: the anti-codon, which is responsible for specific mRNA codon recognition, and the 3' end, to which the tRNAs corresponding amino acid is attached (by aminoacyl-tRNA synthetases). tRNAs cope with the degeneracy of the genetic code in two manners: having more than one tRNA (with a specific anti-codon) for a particular amino acid; and 'wobble' base-pairing, i.e. permitting non-standard base-pairing at the 3rd anti-codon position. RNAcentral also lists the same sequence under 2 other names. The record is from Rfam by way of RNAcentral. Lineage: Eukaryota; Metazoa; Chordata; Mammalia; Artiodactyla; Bovidae.
UCCCCGAUGGCUCAGACAGUAAAGUGUCUGCCUGCAAUGCGGGAGACCCGGGUUCGAUUCCUGGGUUGGGAA